Molecule: long non-coding RNA, 602 nt
Filed under: Mus pahari (shrew mouse)
Lineage: Eukaryota; Metazoa; Chordata; Mammalia; Rodentia; Muridae
Description: lncRNA (MGP_PahariEiJ_G0003190.1)
Source: RNAcentral
ACAACUUCUCUGUGCUCCGUGAAAACUUACGAACCCUGGUGGUGUCCUCGGGAGCCAGGAUGAAAACCAGCAUCGUGGACCCAAGAAGUGUGGCCAGAGGGAAGAAACUUGAAGCCACCUGUCUAUAGCAGUGUCUUGGCAGUCAGGAAUAAAUGGACAUACAUUCCAAGGUCAUGAGAAAGAAAUGCAAUUAGUAUGUAAAACAGCGGCUCUCCUGGAAAUGACUGCUUGGGGGGGGGCUGAGCUCAGAUGAGAAGAUUUACAACAGAGAAAAGCUGUGUGAAGCCAGUGGAUGUGCAGGAGCCACCAACGUGACAAAAAUCGCUAGGGCCCUAGAGGGCGACUGAGAAUUAGAAACAGGAUUUGAGCCCCAGGUGAUGUUCUGUCUUUGAAGGCGGAGUCUUUAAGCUCAGCAUCUUGUACAAGCUUUCCGCUCUCCCAAAUGCUCCCCAAUAUGUGUUUUCAAUUGGACUUUGAAACUAACACCCUAUGUUUUUGGAGAAAACUUAAGACAUUAUGAAACUCAAUAACAGCAUCAAAGGUGCUGAUCAUUCAGACAGUGUCACAGAGUUGGGGAUAUAUAAAAAAAAGUCAUUCUUAAA